AGUAACACGUGGAUAACCUACCUAUAAGACUGGGAUAACUUCGGGAAACCGGAGCUAAUACCGGAUAAUAUUUUGAACCGCAUGGUUCAAAAGUGAAAGACGGUCUUGCUGUCACUUAUAGAUGGAUCCGCGCUGCAUUAGCUAGUUGAUAAGGUAACGGCUUACCAAGGCAACGAUGCAUAGCCGACCUGAGAGGGUGAUCGGCCACACUGGAACUGAGACACGGUCCAG
RNAcentral lists this ribosomal RNA (231 nucleotides) under uncultured Staphylococcus sp. RNAcentral's name for it is "partial 16S ribosomal RNA". It matches the Rfam family "Bacterial small subunit ribosomal RNA", at positions 109 to 334 of the family's 1533-position model. Lineage: Bacteria; Bacillati; Bacillota; Bacilli; Caryophanales; Staphylococcaceae. The record is from RNAcentral.